GCUUUGGGAAAAAAGGUGGGGGGCGUUGACUCUUGAGCGCGUUCCACCUGAGUUUCGUGAGAGGAACAGGUACAGCGAGUUGACGCGCUUCCGGAUGCAGGUGCGAGAGUUGCCGUCAUGAACGCGCGAAUCAAAAGCGUCUGCCUCGCGCUAUUCGCUUGGACGCUGAGGUCUUGAUCGUUUGGGAUUAAAAACUAUUAACAACAACAGUUCCUCCGCAGACAUCACAGCAGUUUCUCAGGUGAGCUCAGUUUCUCAGGUGAGCUCAGUUUCUCUUUCAGUCGGAUGGUUGUUGGUCUCAGUGUGUUUUGAAAACUGCUCGUCAAACCGGCUUCGCCACCGGCAUUCCGUGACUGACUGACUGACUGACUCAUCACCUCACUCCAACCCAGCCGCUGCUCGCUUCAUACAUUAUCUCCAAACUCGGAAGUCAAAUCAUUUGUGAAGAACUGAUCAUCUUAACGAGAGUCCCACAUAAAGCAGGUGACAGUAUGGUACUUUAAUACAGGGCAGUGUAUUGAAUACCAUGGUAUUGACGUGCGUGAGGGAUGUAAUAUGACUGUGAGGUCUUUCAGAGUCAAAAAUAGUUCAGAUUGAGGAUAACACACCAGUUUAAUUAAUUUACUGAAAGCCAUACCGCUUUGGAACGAUUUGAGGGUUAAAGUUCCCUUCCAAAAUGUAAAAGGAUGACCACUGUGUAGUCACAGUUAACCAGGUACUUUGCUCUCUCUCACACACGGAUACUCACAUCUUGCGUCUUCUUGAAUGGACACACCCUUGGACACACCUUGUGGAGCAUC
This is a long non-coding RNA of Onychostoma macrolepis, 800 nucleotides long. RefSeq lists it as uncharacterized. The record is from RefSeq and is a predicted model, not a curated record. The transcript is spliced from 3 exons. NCBI's taxonomy places the organism in Eukaryota, Metazoa, Chordata, Actinopteri, Cypriniformes, Cyprinidae.